RNAcentral lists this long non-coding RNA (304 nucleotides) under Heterocephalus glaber (naked mole-rat). RNAcentral describes it as "lncRNA (ENSHGLG00100038626.1)". Lineage: Eukaryota; Metazoa; Chordata; Mammalia; Rodentia; Bathyergidae. The record is from RNAcentral.
GGACCGCUGAGUCCCCAAAGCCCACACUUGAACUCUGGACCGGGACUGCAGGCGACCGCGAUUCCAUGUGCAGGUCUCGCCCAGGAAGCGGCGGCUCGCCCCUCGCCAGUGAGUGAGGGGCGCCUGCUCUGCUCUGCGUGGUGACCACGCUGCUCUCCGGACCACUUCUCAGGUAGGAGAGAACUCAACCUGUACUUCAUCGACACAGAUGUGCCCAGAACUGAGCCAGCAGGCAAGUCUUCCACUUAAAAGCAUGUUUAGCUGGAAGCCAGAGCCUGCUGUACACAUCAGGAAUCCACACAAG